This 99-nucleotide non-coding RNA is filed under the name Paucilactobacillus wasatchensis. RNAcentral's name for it is "Lactobacillus wasatchensis Guanine sequence". It matches the Rfam family "Purine riboswitch aptamer". From Rfam's summary of the family: Riboswitches are metabolite binding domains within certain messenger RNAs that serve as precision sensors for their corresponding targets. Lineage: Bacteria; Bacillati; Bacillota; Bacilli; Lactobacillales; Lactobacillaceae. The record is from Rfam by way of RNAcentral.
UACAAAUAAAUCGUAAUUGCCUAUAUAAUGCCGUGAUAUGGUCGGCGAGUUUCUACCCAAAGCCGUAAACUUUGGACUAUAAGCAAACUGAGUGAAUCA